UACGUAGGGUGCAAGCGUUGUCCGGAAUUAUUGGGCGUAAAGAGCUUGUAGGCGGUUUGUCGCGUCUGCUGUGAAAUUUCGGGGCUCAACCCCGAACUUGCAGUGGGUACGGGCGGACUAGAGUGUGGUAGGGGAGACUGGAAUUCCUGGUGUAGCGGUGAAAUGCGCAGAUAUCAGGAGGAACACCGGUGGCGAAGGCGGGUCUCUGGGCAACAACUGACGCUGAGGAGCGAAAGCGUGGGGAGCGAACAGG
RNAcentral lists this ribosomal RNA (253 nucleotides) under uncultured bacterium. Its description in RNAcentral is "partial 16S ribosomal RNA". It matches the Rfam family "Bacterial small subunit ribosomal RNA", at positions 524 to 776 of the family's 1533-position model. The record is from RNAcentral.